RNAcentral lists this ribosomal RNA (253 nucleotides) under uncultured bacterium. Its description in RNAcentral is "partial 16S ribosomal RNA". It matches the Rfam family "Bacterial small subunit ribosomal RNA", at positions 524 to 776 of the family's 1533-position model. The record is from RNAcentral.
UACGGAGGGUGCAAGCGUUAAUCGGAAUCACUGGGCGUAAAGCGCACGUAGGCGGCGUCUUAAGUCAGUGGUGAAAUCCUGGAGCUCAACUCCAGAACUGCCUCUGAUACUGAGAUGCUUGAGUCCGGGAGAGGUGAGUGGAACUGCGAGUGUAGAGGUGAAAUUCGUAGAUAUUCGCAAGAACACCAGUGGCGAAGGCGGCUCACUGGCCCGGUACUGACGCUGAGGUGCGAAAGCGUGGGGAGCAAACAGG